UACGUAGGGGGCGAGCGUUGUCCGGAUUUAUUGGGCGUAAAGCGCGUGUAGGCGGCUUUGCAAGUCGGGUGUGAAAGCCCUCAGCUCAACUGAGGAAGUGCGCCCGAAACUGCAGAGCUUGAGUGCCGGAGAGGGUGGCGGAAUUCCCCAAGUAGAGGUGAAAUUCGUAGAUAUGGGGAGGAACACCGGUGGCGAAGGCGGCCACCUGGACGGUAACUGACGCUGAGACGCGAAAGCGUGGGGAGCAAACAGG
RNAcentral lists this ribosomal RNA (253 nucleotides) under uncultured bacterium. RNAcentral describes it as "partial 16S ribosomal RNA". It matches the Rfam family "Bacterial small subunit ribosomal RNA", at positions 524 to 776 of the family's 1533-position model. The record is from RNAcentral.